This 350-nucleotide ribosomal RNA is filed under the name uncultured Streptococcus sp. RNAcentral's name for it is "bacterial SSU rRNA". It matches the Rfam family "Bacterial small subunit ribosomal RNA", at positions 1034 to 1382 of the family's 1533-position model. The record is from RNAcentral. Lineage: Bacteria; Bacillati; Bacillota; Bacilli; Lactobacillales; Streptococcaceae.
ACAGGUGGUGGCAUGGUUGUCGUCAGCUCGUGUCGUGAGAUGUUGGGUUAAGUCCCGCAACGAGCGCAACCCCUAUUGUUAGUUGCCAUCAUUCAGUUGGGCACUCUAGCGAGACUGCCGGUAAUAAACCGGAGGAAGGUGGGGAUGACGUCAAAUCAUCAUGCCCCUUAUGACCUGGGCUACACACGUGCUACAAUGGUUGGUACAACGAGUUGCGAGUCGGUGACGGCGAGCUAAUCUCUUAAAGCCAAUCUCAGUUCGGAUUGUAGGCUGCAACUCGCCUACAUGAAGUCGGAAUCGCUAGUAAUCGCGGAUCAGCACGCCCGCGGUCGAAUACGUUCCCGGGCCUU